UUCGCAAUGCCCGAAAGGGUGACGAAGCGACGCCGCGUGGGUGAGGAAGGCCUUCGGGUUGUAAAGCCCUGUCAGGAGUUAUGAAAUGUAAGUGCGCUAAUAUCGUGCUUAUUUGACAAAGGCUCCAAAGGAAGCCACGGCUAACUCUGUGCCAGCAGCCGCGGUAAUACAGAGGUGGCGAGCGUUGUUCGGAAUUAUUGGGCGUAAAGAGCACGUAGGUGGGUUUGCAAGUCAGAUGUGAAAGCCUUCUGUUCAACGGAAGAAUUGCAUCUGAAACUGCUAAUUUUGAGUAUAGGAGGGGAGAAUGGAACUUCUGGUGGAGCGGUGAAAUGCGUAGAUAUCAGAAGGAACGCCGGCGGCGAAAGCGAUUCUCUGGCCUAUUACUGACACUCAGUGUGCGAAAGCUAGGGGAGCAAACGGGAUUAAAUACCCCGGUAGUCCUAGCCGUAAGCGAUGGGCACUAAGUAGAGGGGUUUUA
This 478-nucleotide ribosomal RNA is filed under the name uncultured anaerobic ammonium-oxidizing bacterium. Its description in RNAcentral is "bacterial SSU rRNA". It matches the Rfam family "Bacterial small subunit ribosomal RNA", at positions 365 to 833 of the family's 1533-position model. The record is from RNAcentral.